AUGUUUUACUACGGGCUAGACUUCCAUGACCUAGCCCCCAACUUUAUCCUCAACAUCACGGCAUUCAUUCUCGUGUGUGAGGCCUUCCUCCGCAUCCCGCCUCAUUUUGGCCUAUGGUUGAAGACCUUCAACGUGAAGACGAAGGUGGUGGGCGGCCAACAAGCAGAGUGCGAAGGCGCCAUGGUGGGCAAGAUGCCCAACAUUACCUGUCUCGAAGGCUCGUUUGCGGACAUGGUGAAAGGGUGGCAAUCGGGGUGGUUUUAUAUCACCGAGCCGCGUGACGCCAACUGGGUGGCGGCCUCCGAAUUCAUAUCUGGAUUCCCGAUGUGGCUCACCUCCUGGCAAGAGAGAGGCCUAACCUGGGGUCCCUCGGACGAGCUGACUGGGCUCCAGACGUGUGUCCAGAAUAUGAUGGAUAGGAAGAUCAAGCUCGUCAACAUGGUCCAAGUCAUGUUCAUUCGCCGGGUCCUUCCGUGCCAAUGCCGGACUUGCUAUCUGUGGGAGUACGACCCGGCCAAUCAUCAGACACUACAAGAGCUCUUCGGCACGACGCACGAAGAAAUUUGGAAAGUGCUCUUCAAGGCCAGGGAGACGCCACCGCCCACGACCAAAGAUCGCGGGCUUAGCUUAAAACGCCAGGCUAACCCGAUAAGCUCUUUUAAUGUUUUCGAGGCGUACCCUUUACUAGCAUAUUUUGAGAAAAAUUCUAAGCCUUCCAACCCGUGUUUUCAGGCCUGGGUCAAGAUAGCGGAGGGGAUUAACAGUCCGGCUCCGCUGCCCGAAGACCAAGAAUUCCCAUUGUUGACGAAAAUGCUUUUUCCAGCACCUUAUGAGGUACCAGAGAAGACGGCCAAGAAAGUGGCCAAAGGGGCCAAGAAGGGCCCUCGCCGAAAAGGCGCUCCGGACAUGAUGUCCGAAGACGAUACUUCCUCUUCGUCCGCUGAUGACAACGAUGAAGAGGAAGAAUAA
This 969-nucleotide ribosomal RNA is filed under the name Triticum aestivum (bread wheat). RNAcentral's name for it is "partial small subunit ribosomal RNA". The record is from RNAcentral. Lineage: Eukaryota; Viridiplantae; Streptophyta; Magnoliopsida; Poales; Poaceae.